UCCCACAUUUCACCCACUUGUGGCUUUCUCUGAGUAUUUUCUUUUUCAUUUUGCAGCAUCACUAGAAGCAUUACUCGUUUUGCAGUCUAUUUAUUAACUUCUGUCUGGCUGCUGGUGGAAGGUAAUUUACAUUUAUCAAUGGAGGACUUUACAGUAUUUGAUGUGGGGAAUAUGGCCUGCCCUCAGGAUGGCACAAAUUUGGCACAGUCUGUUAUUGCAGCCAAGUGCCGGAUGGAGUCUGCCCUCAAGUUUUGCCAUUAUCAAGACACUCGAUAAAAUGUUAACAAAGAGCACAUUAUAAAGCUAACGGGGGACAGCUGGUACAAUCUUAGCAAAGAAACAAGUGGAGAUGUCAGACAGUCAUUCUGAGUCACUGCCAAAAGCCACAAUAUGGUCAGUGAAAUUGCACUGCAUGGAUGAUUUACUUUUCUGUGAAACAAAAAGACUUGAUGACUUGGAAGAACAUAAUGGGGAGUUGUUUUCAUUGCUCUGCACUUUGACUUGUAAUCAUUUAAAUUGACAAAAACAAAUAAAAAAAACUUGCCCUAGAA
Girardinichthys multiradiatus is the source of this 551-nucleotide long non-coding RNA. RefSeq lists it as uncharacterized. The record is from RefSeq and is a predicted model, not a curated record. NCBI's taxonomy places the organism in Eukaryota, Metazoa, Chordata, Actinopteri, Cyprinodontiformes, Goodeidae. The transcript has 3 exons.